UGGGGAAUAUUGCACAAUGGGCGCAAGCCUGAUGCAGCCAUGCCGCGUGUAUGAAGAAGGCCUUAGGGUUGUAAAGUACUUUCAGCGGGGAGGAAGGUGAUAAGGUUAAUACCCUUGUCAAUUGGCGUUACCCGCAGAAGAAGCACCGGCUAACUCCGUGCCAGCAGCCGCGGUAAUACGGAGGGUGCAAGCGUUAAUCGGAAUUACUGGGCGUAAAGCGCACGCAGGCGGUCAAUUAAGUCAGAUGUGAAAGCCCCGAGCUUAACUUGGGAAUUGCAUCUGAAACUGGUUGGCUAGAGUCUUGUAGAGGGGGGUAGAAUUCCAUGUGUAGCGGUGAAAUGCGUAGAGAUGUGGAGGAAUACCGGUGGCGAAGGCGGCCCCCUGGACAAAGACUGACGCUCAGGUGCGAAAGCGUGGGGAGCAAACA
Molecule: ribosomal RNA, 427 nt
Filed under: uncultured bacterium
Lineage: Bacteria
Description: partial 16S ribosomal RNA
Rfam family: Bacterial small subunit ribosomal RNA
Source: RNAcentral